This 567-nucleotide long non-coding RNA is filed under the name Androctonus crassicauda. The record is from RNAcentral. Lineage: Eukaryota; Metazoa; Arthropoda; Arachnida; Scorpiones; Buthidae.
GAAUAUAAUACAAUUUUUCAGAACAGAAUUGUAAGCUAUCAAAUAUAUCAUCAAGUGGGUUACUAUUUUACAGUAAAGAAUUCCUGCAGAUUAAUAUUUUCACAGAUUCAAAAUCAUCUUUACAAGUGCUUACUAUGAAAAAUAGUUCUAAUGCCUUGAUUCAGGAGUACCAUAAAUUGGCUAAUAUGCUUAUUAACAGUAUUACUUUGUUUAUAUUCCUAGUCACUUUGGUAUCUCAGAUAAUGAAAAUGCUGAUGCUAAGAAAAAACAGCAUCUGCAUUGAGAAAUGAGGAAGUAGACAUAACUCACAAGCCUAUUUCUAUGCAGAUAAUCAAGAUAGCUGUUCAAGGCAUUCUUAGAAAUAAAUGGAGUGGAAGAUGGAAGAUUUCAACAAAGGAAACAGUUAUAAAAAAUUUUUCUCUAUGGGUUUUCAUUCUUUAAAUUUACCAAUAACUCAGAUGAAUUAUUCUCUAGGCCAAGUCCUUACUGGUCAUAAAAGCUUUAAUGUCUAUAUGGCUAAAUACAAUCUUUCUAAUAAUGCCUUUUAUGUAUGUUGUAACAUUAAAU